UCACUGUGAAUAGCGCUUCUAUGGUCCAUCCAAUCAGCUGUGAAUACAAAACUAGUCCUAAAUUCCUUAUUCCUAAACUAUUAAUUUAUUUAGUUGCAAGGAACAGGUCAAAGUUUUUAACCAGUGCUGGAUGUAGCCAGUCUAAUGUGAAGGACUGUGCAGCAUGAGACAGAGAGGAAGAACAGAGAGGGAGGGAAAGAAAAUACAAUAAAAGAGAAUAACUUUGCCUCAGGACAAAUGAACUCGGUGGCAAGAUCACAAAAUGCCAAGUGCCUUAGUCUCCGUGGGACACUCUGCCUCCGUAACCUCGUUUCCUUCCCUCACACCCAACCCCAUGCAGCAAUAAGAGAACAGUGUAAUGUUUCAUUUAAUCCACCAUUAACACCACGGUCACACUUCUCUUGGCGUCUGCCCAUAUUACUGCUUUUGUUGGACAACAAAUCCAAAAUUUAAUUAUUCAUUUUGCUGAAAGAGACCCUGUUGUGUUUUAAAUGGGUCCUCUCUCCAUUCCUCCAUUCCUUUAUCUCUCCAGAUACAUUUGCCUUUGAGAUUGGAAUUGAGCCUAUUCAUUAUCUGGGAAGCAAAAUAAGAAAUAAUCCCUACAUGAGGCAAUGCAUAGUGGGUCCUCAGAGUUUGUCAGAAACGCACCCACACGGUUUUCCACUGCAAGAAUUUUCCACCUUAUUAGAGUUGAUAUCUAGCCCCACCACUGAAUUGGAAAAAAGAACUCUCUUAAAAUAAACUGGCAGAGCACUGAUGACCGUGCCAUCUGCAUGAAUUAUUUUAACUUUGGAGUUUAAUGAAGGAUGUAGUAGCAAAUGUUGUAUUCCCAUCUCGUGGCUCUCUGCUUCCUGCUGAUUCCAGAUGUGAUCCAAAAUUUCAUUCAACAUAUACUUGCAGUGGCCUAAUAAAAACUCCGCUCAGCUCUGGGAGCUACCUAAUGAAAGCCUGUCCUCCUGGAGUUUAUAAUCCAUGGGAUCCUGAAUCCAGUCUUUCCUACAUUUUUCUGCCCUUGAAUUAUGUGGAUUAAUUCUCAUCAGCGCUGUUGGCCAGUUUGGGCCAAGCCUGACUUUUUCACACUAAUUCCCAUCCUCAGUUCCCUG
Molecule: long non-coding RNA, 1103 nt
Filed under: Canis lupus familiaris (dog)
Lineage: Eukaryota; Metazoa; Chordata; Mammalia; Carnivora; Canidae
Description: lncRNA (ENSCAFG00040014318.1)
Source: RNAcentral